UAAGCAAUGUUCAAGGAAACAUGACACACCUGCUUAUGAUAGCUAUUUUCUGUUUUCAUGACACUGGCCCUUGCCUUUCGUGUCGGUUAUCUGUAUAACAUCUUCGGUCCUGUGAAAAUCAAGCCCUAAUUUCCAUCACCAUGAAUGUGGCCCAACUGUAAGGAGUGAAAGAGAUUACUACGAUGUGCUGAUGCGAUCAUGCAAAUAUUUGGCUCUACUCAUAUAGCAUUCAUAUUGCCAUACUGUUACAAGGCCAGAGCCCUCAUAAUCGGAGGAUUUAGUCUGCACCUUUAUUCAUCAUUAUCUUAUUACUUGGUGCUUGGCAUGUGCGCACAGACUGCAAUGAAAAUGUCCAUUAGCACCGGGAGAAGACCAGAAAAGGUUUGGCCAGACGUAGGCAGCUGGUGGUAAGUUGAGCUAAAAACUUCUCUAUAUCAACAUCCGCAUUCUGGAGUGUUCUGUGAUGAUCUUACUGGGGAAAUGAGAACAAAUGUCUUCUUACCUGAGACAGAGACCCAGCAACAGACCAAAGAAAGGAUGCUGUCGAAGUUCAUCUUGGUGACCCAAUGCGCUCUGUUGGAGCGGCUUACUGGAGUAUAGGUGAGGGGUUACUUGGAAAUCUGAAAUGUCGCAAAAAUAGUUGUAUCACCAAAUUCCACCCCAACAUGACUGACAGAUCAUGAAAGCUGGAAACCUGGAGAACACUGCACAGCCUGGAGGUAGACCAUCAGAUUGGGAAGUGUCCUUUUUAGGAGUCGAUUGGCCUGAGCCUCUACCAGGCAGGUUGACUCAGCUUUGUUUCUUCCUGGCAGCUGUUUGUUUCUGUGCGUCUUUCAACAGUCCUUUCUGCAUCUAUGCGGCUGGGAACGGAGGAGCCUGGUAAACCUGGCCCAUUUCAGGGGCGUCUUGAAGAGAUUUUGAGCUGUUUCCUUUGGUGCUGCAGGAUGGAGUGCUCCCCUUCCUAGGAGAGCCUCCUGUUGUCUCACCCCACUAAACAGUCUUGUUUAUUGAAAGAUUGGAGCUAGGACAGCUGGACAUCAAUAUGAGCUUCAGGCUUCCUGCAGCUGAAGUGGGAUUAGCUGCUGAUUAACCAGCAAUCGCUGACUUGGAUCAACCCUGUUGAGCACAGUGCCCCUCUUUCUCCAUCACAUCCCCGGAUUCGAUUACUCUGGCUGCAACACGCGCUCUGGUUGGGUCUGCAGGAUGGCCAGCUUGCUCUUCUCUAAAGAGUUGUUCAUUAGAGAAGAUUAGUGAGGGAAAAGAAAAAACUCGGUAGGAAUUGUAUAAAUAAAUGCAUUACUUAUUUUAUCUGUGGGCUAUUACUUGAAGAUCCCACAAGCAAACAGAAAAGCCCAGGAACCCUGUGGAGCCUGAAUCCCUGCUAUCCUCAGAGCAGGUCAGGCAGGAGCCUGCCAGAAGAUUGUAUCCCUGUAUCCUCUGAUGCCAAAUUGCAAGCCUGGCUUAACUAACUUGCUGGAUGGAGUUGUU
Molecule: long non-coding RNA, 1488 nt
Organism: Alexandromys fortis (reed vole)
Lineage: Eukaryota; Metazoa; Chordata; Mammalia; Rodentia; Cricetidae
Exons: 3
Source: RefSeq, a predicted model, not a curated record